This is a long non-coding RNA of Solanum pennellii, 1115 nucleotides long. RefSeq lists it as uncharacterized. The transcript is spliced from 2 exons. The record is from RefSeq and is a predicted model, not a curated record. NCBI's taxonomy places the organism in Eukaryota, Viridiplantae, Streptophyta, Magnoliopsida, Solanales, Solanaceae.
CUUAAUUCAAGGCUCAAAAUUCCUUUUAAUGUAGCGUAAAAGCUGCCAACCCAUUUUUCCCAUCGCGCCCCGACUCGUUUUGUUUUCCCCUUUUUCUCCUCAUGCUAGAGAAGCCCAGACGCAGCGCACAAAAAAAUGGAAGAGGAAAAUUUGUCUUUUUCCUCGCUGAAAGUCUAGGAGAGUGGAAUUUAGAAACCUAAAAUGCUUACAAGACGCGUGAAUCGCUCGAGCGAGUGUAACGGGAGGUGAAAAGGGAAGACCAGUACACUGUGCUUGUUUUUUUUUGACCCGUCCCUGCUCAUUUCGUACGAGUUCGAACAGUAGCGGGUUCACGCGCAUCGCCCCUUCUUUCACCAUGCCAUUUCAAAAAUAAAGUUGAAACUUGACGAAAAGUUUUUCUAUCCGUUUUGGUGAAGGUUUUGGGGGUGUUUUUGAAAUUGGAAGUGAGUUCCUGGAUUUCCAUUGAUAUUUCUCCCUGAUAUAUAUAUUUCUUUCAUUCACUAUGGGUGGGAUCUGGGGUGAGAAAAGAAAAUUUCGGUGAAAAAAUUGUUUUGCGAUUUUGACGCUUUUACCCAGUUAGAAAACACAAAGACAACUUCAAAAAAAAGGGACACAAAAAGAUACAUCUCAAAGAAGAAGAGAGAACAGCUUUAUCGUCCGUCUCUAAACUUCCAUCUCGAUUUUAUUUGUGUCGUGGGUUCAAGUUUCGUUGUUGGUGGUAGAAUUGUUGUUCGGAAGUUCGUUGUCGUCCCAUUUAACCGCACCUAAAGAGAGACUCUCUCUUCGCAUUUCCAAAGGGGCCAUGAAGGCCCUAAAAUAAUCUUAUCGAGUCAGCCGAUUAGAAAUUUUGAAGAAUAAAUUAAGAAAACCGACGAACAGGUCCCAAAAUUGAAGAAUACGUGCAAACCAAGGAGUUAGAGAUUUUGAACCAAGAUCCAAAAAAUUUAUUUCAAAUGUCGUAUUUUGUUAUUUUUGGGCCUAAGAUCUUUUUUGUAUUAUUAUUAUUAUAUUUUUUUAUAACUCUAGGACAGGUCGAAUGGGCCAAAGGCUUCCAAAACAAAAUGGGUCUAAAUACCUUUCCAGGCGGAUAGAAAUCGGAUUUGGACUCAACCCUC